AUACGAGGGGUGCAAGCGUUAAUCGGAAUUACUGGGCGUAAAGCGUUCGUAGGCGGUUUGUUAAGCAAGAUGUGAAAGCCCUGGGCUCAACCUGGGAACUGCAUUUUGAACUGGCAAGCUAGAAUACUGUAGAGGGUGGUGGGAUUUCCAGUGUAGCGGUGAAAUGCGUAGAGAUUAGAAGGAACAUCAGUGGCGAAGGCGGCCACCUGGACAGAUAUUGACGCUCAGGAACGAAAGCGUGGGGAGCGAACAGGAUUAGAUACCCCAGUAGUCC
Molecule: ribosomal RNA, 274 nt
Filed under: uncultured bacterium
Lineage: Bacteria
Description: partial 16S ribosomal RNA
Rfam family: Bacterial small subunit ribosomal RNA
Source: RNAcentral